CCUACGGGAGGCAGCAGUGAGGAAUAUUGGUCAAUGGGCGGAAGCCUGAACCAGCCAAGUCGCGUGAGGGAAUAAGGCCCUACGGGUCGUAAACCUCUUUUGCCGGGGAGCAAGGGCGGGGACGCGUCCCGGCCCGGAGAGUUCCCGGAGAAAACGCAUCGGCAAACACCGUGCCAGCAGCCGCGGUAAUAGGGGGGGUGCGGGUGUUAUCCGUUUUUAUUGGGUUAAAAGGGGGCGUAGGGGGGCUUUUAAGUCAGCGGGAAAAGUUAGGGUCUACACCCCGCCCGGCCGUUGAAACUGGGGGACUUGAGUGGGCGAGGAGAAGGCGGAAUGCGUGGUGUAGCGGUGAAAUGCAUAGAUA
This 361-nucleotide ribosomal RNA is filed under the name uncultured bacterium. RNAcentral's name for it is "partial 16S ribosomal RNA". It matches the Rfam family "Bacterial small subunit ribosomal RNA", at positions 338 to 696 of the family's 1533-position model. The record is from RNAcentral.